GGUUUAAUAGUCAAUAAUGAUUUUGGAUUGCAAAUCUGAAGGUAAAUAAUUUUUUAAACUU
This 61-nucleotide transfer RNA is filed under the name Tenebrio molitor (yellow mealworm). RNAcentral's name for it is "tRNA-Cys". The record is from RNAcentral. Lineage: Eukaryota; Metazoa; Arthropoda; Insecta; Coleoptera; Tenebrionidae.